Molecule: ribosomal RNA, 253 nt
Filed under: uncultured bacterium
Lineage: Bacteria
Description: partial 16S ribosomal RNA
Rfam family: Bacterial small subunit ribosomal RNA
Source: RNAcentral
UACGUAGGGUGCGAGCGUUGUCCGGAAUUAUUGGGCGUAAAGGGCUCGUAGGCGGUCUGUCGCGUCGAAAGUGAAAACUCAGGGCUUAACCCUGAGCCUGCUUCCGAUACGGGCAGACUAGAGGUAUGCAGGGGAGAACGGAAUUCCUGGUGUAGCGGUGAAAUGCGCAGAUAUCAGGAGGAACACCGGUGGCGAAGGCGGUUCUCUGGGCAUUACCUGACGCUGAGGAGCGAAAGUGUGGGGAGCAAACAGG